Molecule: ribosomal RNA, 450 nt
Filed under: uncultured bacterium
Lineage: Bacteria
Description: bacterial SSU rRNA
Rfam family: Bacterial small subunit ribosomal RNA
Source: RNAcentral
GUGGGGAAUAUUGGACAAUGGGCGAAAGCCUGAUCCAGCCAUGCCGCGUGUGUGAAGAAGGUCUUCGGAUUGUAAAGCACUUUAAGUUGGGAGGAAGGGCAGUAAGUUAAUACCUUGCUGUUUUGACGUUACCGACAGAAUAAGCACCGGCUAACUUCGUGCCAGCAGCCGCGGUAAUACGAAGGGUGCAAGCGUUAAUCGGAAUUACUGGGCGUAAAGCGCGCGUAGGUGGUUUUGUAAGUUGGAGGUGAAAUCCCCGGGCUCAACCUGGGAACUGCCUCCAAAACUGCAUGACUAGAGUACGGUGGAGGGUAGUGGAAUUUCCUGUGUAGCGGUGAAAUGCGUAGAUAUAGGAAGGAACACCAGUGGCGAAGGCGACUACCUGGACUGAUACUGACACUGAGGUGCGAAAGCGUGGGGAGCAAACAGGAUUAGAAACCCCUGUAGUCC